RNAcentral lists this ribosomal RNA (160 nucleotides) under Solanum nigrum (black nightshade). RNAcentral's name for it is "5.8S ribosomal RNA". Lineage: Eukaryota; Viridiplantae; Streptophyta; Magnoliopsida; Solanales; Solanaceae. The record is from RNAcentral.
GCAAGUUGCGCCCGAAGCCAUUAGGCCGAGGGCACGUCUGCCUGGGCGUCACGCAUCGCGUCGCCCCCCGAACGCCGCAAGGCGUCGUGGGGCGGAUACUGGCCUCCCGUGCGCCUCGAGCUCGUGGCUGGCCUAAAUGCGAGUCCACAUCGACGGACGU